This is a long non-coding RNA of Gavialis gangeticus (Gharial), 2885 nucleotides long. RefSeq lists it as uncharacterized. Lineage: Eukaryota; Metazoa; Chordata; Crocodylia; Gavialidae. The transcript has 5 exons. The record is from RefSeq and is a predicted model, not a curated record.
AAUCAAAUAUUCAUAAAAUUCAUUAAAUAUUGCAAAAAAAGAUGGAAGUGAAAGAAGAAAAAGAUGAAUUAUUUACCAAUGACUAGAAUUUUUCAAGAGGUGUUGUCUCUACACAUCUUCUCCCUGCAGCUGUACGUUUACCUCUGUUGCUUGAGCUUGGAGAGCUUUUUUGUCCUGAGGUUGCUGUACAGUUACCACUUAGCCCCCCAUCCCUCUAUGUGCUCUAGAUUGAGGGGAUAAAUGGCAGCGUACACUUCCUGUUCCUCAGUUUCCUUUAAACCAUGCUAGUUCUUUGGUCACUGGGAAUUACUUCGUUAGGAGAAUCUCUAGCAAGCCUUUAUGGAUGGUUUCUAUCCAUUUCUACCAAAAAAUGGAUGUCUGAGAGACUCCAGCCAGGCUACUGCCCACUCAGUUAAUUUUGAAACCUUCCUUAAAUAAGCGAAGUUGAAUACCAUUUUUAAAAAAAAAUCCAGGAACCUUUUUCCUUUCCUUUCGUUUGGUAUUCUGUGGGUUCCAGGAUAUGCAGGGUGCAAUAUUCAGUGUUUUAAUUGUCUUAAAUAAUUUGCGGUGUAAUAAUUUGAUCUGCUGUGAUAUAUUCUAGCCCUCUGGUGGUGCGCACUCAAACAUCCAUUCCUAGCUACAUUCUUGGUUCAUGUUCAGACUGGAGCACAAAGGGAGUAGAUCAAGACAAAGGAUCUGCUUCACUGCAUUUCCAGAUAUGUGCAUGAGGAUGCAGACUUAAUGAGGAUCCUUCUGUCUGAACAGCUCAUAUCUUCCUGCCCCUCGGGCAGGGGGCUGGACUCGAUCUUCCGAGGUCCCUUCCAGUCCUAAUGUCUAUGAAGGCUAAUCUUGACUGUUUAAUUUUUGAGUUCUCAGUAUGAGGGUUGAAAAAUUUCCAGAAAUGUUCUUGAAGGGUAUAAACAGAUGUUGUCUUUGGAUGAGAAUCAUCUAUUCUGUAUCAUGUAUCCUGGCACAGCUGAUCUGCUUCAUUGGUGUCUACUGACAUUGCCUUGUAGGGUUGGGUGCCUGAAGCUCCCAGGGCUUUAGGAGCCUAAUCUGGGGUCCCUGGUGCUGUGCCUCAACCUGUGGUACAUGUCUGCAAAGGCAUAAGGACAAUGUUUGUUCGCAGUCAGAGCAUGGGGAAGCCAGGAAGAGGGAAUAUAAACUUCUUAAAUAUUUAUCAUGUGAAAAACUUUCACCAGCUGAAUUAUUCCAUUGAAGUCAAUAGUACUGCUCACGUAGACUCCAAGGACAAAUUAUAGAUUUCAUGUUGAAUAGUCCUUCAAGCAAAGACUUUCUUUUUCCAGGUAGAAAGCUGACAUUAUGAUCAAGGAAGAGUGAAUGAACAAAAAUGCACAUUAAAAGGAAUACCAAAUGGAAAGCACUCCCCCGAGUGGAUACAUGUAUAAAUUGUAAGAAAAUAAUCUCUAAAUGCAGCCCCUGGGACUUGAAUUAUUUACACUCUUUUAAUCCUCUUAACUUCAAAUCAAGAUCAUUCACAUUGCUUUACAGUCAGGCUUUCAAUUGUAUUUUAUGCUCUCAUAUAAUUUCCUUGUCAAUCACUAUAUUGAACAAAUUUGUAAUCCGCUCAUGUUUUCAACAUAGAAUCAUUUGUCUGUUUAUCCUAUAGCCUAACACCUUUCCUCUUCAUCCCUCCUUACUCUUAUCAAAGUCGUAUUUUCAAGUUCUCCGUGCAGACUUCUUACAGUGGAAAAAUGCAUGAACAAAAUUGUCAACAGUCAAUACGAAACCAAAUGCAAUUGCUUCUCUUAUAACCAUUCCUGAUAUGAAAUAACUUUUAAGGUUAUGCCACAUUCUGAAAAGAGGCAAGGAAUUCAAAGUUGGAUUUGAUAGUCUACCUUUUAGAAAAGAAACAUUUCAUAGUUAUAAAUAUGUAUGUGUGUAUUACUUACCUGAUGCACCUGGAAUAGCCCCAGAACUGUUCUUGUUCAUGGGUUAUUAUGUACUGAGGUGUUUCUUUCACUGUUUGGGGAGCUGAAUGUGUAGUUGCUCAGAUAUCACAAUGAGAAUGUUCUCUUGUGGCAGUUUUUACUGAAUAUUAUUUAUAACAAAAAAAAAGACUAGUCUUUGAUUAAGUAUUUAUUGUAACAUUUAAAAAAACAUUAAUCUUACAAUUAUUUGGAUGGUUACAUACACUAUUUUGCAAAUAGACAUGGAAUCACUAUUCACUUAUGCAAAUAUAAUAUUUGCAUUGGUGCAACAUAAUUUUAUGUGGCAUAAACACACAGCAGCUAGUUUUCAGAUGUUUUGUGCUUUCAAAUCAAAAAAGAGCAUGUAAUAAACUUGCAUAUAAUUUUCAGCUGUAGAAGAGAAAAACCCUCUUGAAUGAACACUUACAUAACUCAAAAGGUCUAUAUUUAGCCACUUCUAAGUUGGGUAAGAAUCAUUGCUGCUUGUCUUAGCUCUGAAUAUUAUGUCUUGGGUUACAAAUGCUAUAUUUUAUGUAUAAGCCCUGCAGCAAAUGCUGUUGUUAGGAGCCAAGGAGCUUUUGUGAUUCCCCUUCUGCCGGUACUGAAGGAAAAAACCAAGAGCCAAACCAUUAUGCCACAUAUAAGGUGACAUGCUGAUAAAGAUGGUUUCUUAGGUAACUUGGGUGCAAGGCUUUAUAUCAUCACAUAGUCAAAUUAAUUAAUGGAACAGCAUGUGAUAGGAUUUGAGCAGCAGUAUUUUUAUUACCAGUAUCUGAGCCAGACAUUUACUUAAGCAAAAUAAAACCAAACAACAAGCUGACACCUGCUCGAGUCCCAGGACUCCAGGAGCUGGGGCUUUAAGGCAGUUAAGUACCCAGUGGUGGAAGGAGGUAGCUGGCAGGCACUGGGAGGCCUGGCUCCCCACCCAUGGUGCCUUGGCAGGAUUCAGGCCAC